RNAcentral lists this unclassified non-coding RNA (631 nucleotides) under Monsonia marlothii. RNAcentral describes it as "sequence contains ITS1, 5.8S rRNA gene, ITS2". The stretch from base 234 to 389 matches the Rfam family "5.8S ribosomal RNA". The record is from RNAcentral. Lineage: Eukaryota; Viridiplantae; Streptophyta; Magnoliopsida; Geraniales; Geraniaceae.
UCGAACCCUGCACAGCAGAACGACCCGCGAACUCGUUAUCACACUCCGAGGAGUAGGGGGCCCUUGUGCCCUCUGCACCUCGACGCCGGGGGGGUGGGGGCGCGAGCCCUCGCCGCCCGGCAAACAACGUACCCCGGCGCGGUCAGCGCCAAGGAACAUGAACGAAGCAACGCGCGUCGUACGCCCCGUUCGCGGUGCGCGGACGACUCGCGGUCUUCUCCUGUAUCUAAAACGACUCUCGGCAACGGAUAUCUCGGCUCUCGCAUCGAUGAAGAACGUAGCGAAAUGCGAUACUUGGUGUGAAUUGCAGAAUCCCGUGAACCAUCGAGUCUUUGAACGCAAGUUGCGCCCGAAGCCAUUAGGCCGAGGGCACGUCUGCCUGGGCGUCACGCGCUCCGUCGCCCCGCAACCCCACAUCUCGGGCGCUUGCGGCGCGGAAAUUGGUCUCCCGUGAGCCCUCUGCUCGCGGCUGGCCUAAAAAUGAGUCCCGGGCGCACCAUGCCGCGGCCGACGGUGGUUGUAAAGCCUUCGAAACAGAGCCGCGGGAAGGUCGCCAGUUCGAGACCCUGUGACCCUCGCGCGACUUCUCCCCUCGGGGCGGAGCCGCUCCAUCUGCGACCCCAGGUCAGGC